RNAcentral lists this ribosomal RNA (433 nucleotides) under uncultured bacterium. RNAcentral's name for it is "partial 16S ribosomal RNA". It matches the Rfam family "Bacterial small subunit ribosomal RNA", at positions 29 to 507 of the family's 1533-position model. The record is from RNAcentral.
AACGAACGCUGGCGGCAGGCUUAACACAUGCAAGUCGAGCGCAUCCUUCGGGUUGAGCGGCCGACGGGUGAGUAACGCGUGGGAACGUGCCCUCUUCUACGGAAUAGCCUCGGGAAACUGAGAGUAAUGCCGUAUACGCCCUCAAGGGGUACGAUUUAUCGGAGGAGGAUCUGCCCGAGUUGGAUUGGGUAGGUGGUGGGGUAACGGCCUGCCAAGUCGACGAUCCGUAGCUGGAUUGUGAGGAGGAUCAGCCACACUGGGACUGAGACACGGCCCAGACUCCUACGGGAGGCAGCAGUGGGGGAUCUUGGACAGUGGGGGCAAUCCUGAUACAGCCAUGCCGGGUGAUCGAUGAAGGCCUUAGGGUUGGAAAGAUGUUUCAGCUGGGAAGAUAAUGACGGUACCAGCAGAAGAAGCCCCGGCUAACUCCGUG